CCCAUGGAAGCAAUAGAUGGAGGAGAUGUUAGAGAAGAUGCCUGUGAUGACUUCUGGAGGGAUCCCCGUUUCUGUCAGCUUGGUGCAGAAAACCUGGCUCUCCCUGUAGAAGUCUGAGAUGCCAGAGUUAAAUGAGGUCAGCUCCUGCCAACCCCAGGUGAGCCUUCCCAAGAUGAACUGACCCCAGAUGGUUCUGCCCGUGACGAGCUUGGUGAUCCAUCUCCAUCUUCAGGAAUGAGAGCCCCCAACAUCAAAGGGGUGAAGCUGGGGCUGAAAGUAUGGAGGCACUGGAGUCCUCACUGCUUGCACAUGCUGGGGCUCGAGGGAAGAGCACACCAAGGAUCCUAAUCUCUCCCCUCUGCUGUGGCCCCUGUGGUGAUAACCGUGAAAAGCAUGACAAUCCUUCAAGACUAUCCUCUCCCAGCCAAGGUCACACACCACAGCAUUGGCAUCUUGAGGACUCCUAACAAGUCCACGCUGUUACCACCAUUCAGGAAAUCAGGGAUGCCCCUCUAGGAGCUGUGGCAUGUUGAUUGAGGGGCUGCCUGGAACCUGGCCCUUGCUCUAUGGGCACUGCCCUGGCUCUGAGCUGAACAGAAGGUUCACACAGGCCUCUGCAUCUCCGCCCCAAUGUGGGUCAUGGAUCUGGUACACUUUGAGGACAGGUGUGCACAAGCAAGCCCUUGGGCUUAAAUGGAACAUCUACUCCUCCAUUUUUCCCCAAUUCAGGGCUGAAUCAUCAGCACUGCCCCAACCAGCACCUCAUGAAGCUCAUUUCCUGAAUGACAAUGAAUUUGGCUACAGUAACGGUGGGGUGGGAAAGGGAAAAGCCCCUGACCACCAACCCCACAAAUGCAGGGGCCCUCAGCUGCUGCUGGGGAGUGGCCCUCCCAGAUCUACCCUGGCACUGGGAUCCCCUGUUCAAGUUUCAUCCCAGACCCCCUGGAGGGCCAUUUUAAAAAAUUUUA
Long non-coding RNA from Talpa occidentalis (Iberian mole), 968 nucleotides. RefSeq lists it as uncharacterized. The transcript is spliced from 3 exons. NCBI's taxonomy places the organism in Eukaryota, Metazoa, Chordata, Mammalia, Eulipotyphla, Talpidae. The record is from RefSeq and is a predicted model, not a curated record.